RNAcentral lists this ribosomal RNA (253 nucleotides) under uncultured bacterium. Its description in RNAcentral is "partial 16S ribosomal RNA". It matches the Rfam family "Bacterial small subunit ribosomal RNA", at positions 524 to 776 of the family's 1533-position model. The record is from RNAcentral.
UACGUAGGGGGCAAGCGUUGUCCGGAUUUAUUGGGCGUAAAGAGCGUGUAGGCGGCCAUGCAGGUCCGUUGUGAAAGCUCGAGGCUCAACCUCGAGACGCCGAUGGAAACCGCAUGGCUAGAGUCCGGAAGAGGAGAGUGGAAUUCCUGGUGUAGCGGUGAAAUGCGCAGAUAUCAGGAAGAACACCCGUGGCUAAGGCGGCUCUCUAGUACGGUACUGACGCUGAGACGCGAAAGCGUGGGGAGCGAACAGG